Molecule: ribosomal RNA, 450 nt
Filed under: uncultured bacterium
Lineage: Bacteria
Description: partial 16S ribosomal RNA
Rfam family: Bacterial small subunit ribosomal RNA
Source: RNAcentral
GUGGGGAAUAUUGGACAAUGGGCGAAAGCCUGAUCCAGCCAUGCCGCGUGUGUGAAGAAGGUCUUCGGAUUGUAAAGCACUUUAAGUUGGGAGGAAGGGUAGUAACCUAAUACGUUGCUACUUUGACGUUACCGACAGAAUAAGCACCGGCUAACUUCGUGCCAGCAGCCGCGGUAAUGCGAAGGGUGCAAGCGUUAAUCGGAAUUACUGGGCGUAAAGCGCGCGUAGGUGGUUCAGUAAGUUGGAAGUGAAAUCCCCGGGCUCAACCUGGGAACUGCUUUCAAAACUGCUGAGCUAGAGUACGGUAGAGGGUGGUGGAAUUUCCUGUGUAGCGGUGAAAUGCGUAGAUAUAGGAAGGAACACCAGUGGCGAAGGCGACCACCUGGACUGAUACUGACACUGAGGUGCGAAAGCGUGGGGAGCAAACAGGAUUAGAAACCCCUGUAGUCC